UUUAAAUUGAGAGUUUGAUCCUGGCUCAGGAUGAACGCUGGUGGCGUGCCUAAUACAUGCAAGUCGUACGCUAGCCGCUGAAUUGAUCCUUCGGGUGAAGUGAGGCAAUGACUAGAGUGGCGAACUGGUGAGUAACACGUAAGAAACCUGCCCUUUAGUGGGGGAUAACAUUUGGAAACAGAUGCUAAUACCGCGUAACAACAAAUCACACAUGUGAUCUGUUUGAAAGGUCCUUUUGGAUCGCUAGAGGAUGGUCUUGCGGCGUAUUAGCUUGUUGGUAGGGUAGAAGCCUACCAAGGCAAUGAUGCGUAGCCGAGUUGAGAGACUGGCCGGCCACAUUGGGACUGAGACACUGCCCAAACUCCUACGGGAGGCUGCAGUAGGGAAUUUUCCGCAAUGCACGAAAGUGUGACGGAGCGACGCCGCGUGUGUGAUGAAGGCUUUCGGGUCGUAAAGCACUGUUGUAAGGGAAGAAUAACUGAAUUCAGAGAAAGUUUUCAGCUUGACGGUACCUUACCAGAAAGGGAUGGCUAAAUACGUGCCAGCAGCCGCGGUAAUACGUAUGUCCCGAGCGUUAUCCGGAUUUAUUGGGCGUAAAGCGAGCGCAGACGGUUUAUUAAGUCUGAUGUGAAAUCCCGAGGCCCAACCUCGGAACUGCAUUGGAAACUGAUUUACUUGAGUGCGAUAGAGGCAAGUGGAACUCCAUGUGUAGCGGUGAAAUGCGUAGAUAUGUGGAAGAACACCAGUGGCGAAAGCGGCUUGCUAGAUCGUAACUGACGUUGAGGCUCGAAAGUAUGGGUAGCAAACGGGAUUAGAUACCCCGGUAGUCCAUACCGUAAACGAUGGGUGCUAGUUGUUAAGAGGUUUCCGCCUCCUAGUGACGUAGCAAACGCAUUAAGCACCCCGCCUGAGGAGUACGGCCGCAAGGCUAAAACUUAAAGGAAUUGACGGGGACCCGCACAAGCGGUGGAGCAUGUGGUUUAAUUCGAAGAUACGCGAAAAACCUUACCAGGUCUUGACAUACCAAUGAUCGCUUUUGUAAUGAAAGCUUUUCUUCGGAACAUUGGAUACAGGUGGUGCAUGGU
This 1085-nucleotide ribosomal RNA is filed under the name Oenococcus oeni. Its description in RNAcentral is "bacterial SSU rRNA". It matches the Rfam family "Bacterial small subunit ribosomal RNA", at positions 1 to 1049 of the family's 1533-position model. The record is from RNAcentral. Lineage: Bacteria; Bacillati; Bacillota; Bacilli; Lactobacillales; Lactobacillaceae.